This 253-nucleotide ribosomal RNA is filed under the name uncultured bacterium. RNAcentral describes it as "partial 16S ribosomal RNA". It matches the Rfam family "Bacterial small subunit ribosomal RNA", at positions 524 to 776 of the family's 1533-position model. The record is from RNAcentral.
UACGUAGGGGGCUAGCGUUGUCCGGAAUCAUUGGGCGUAAAGCGCGCGUAGGCGGCCAGAUAAGUCCGGUGUGAAAGUCACAGGCUCAACCUGUGAAUGCCGCUGGAAACUGUCUGGCUAGAGUCCGGAAGGGGCGAGUGGAAUUCCUGGUGUAGCGGUGAAAUGCGCAGAUAUCAGGAGGAACACCAAUUGCGAAGGCAGCUCGCUGGGACGUAACUGACGCUGAGACGCGAAAGCGUGGGGAGCAAACAGG